Selaginella moellendorffii is the source of this 438-nucleotide long non-coding RNA. RefSeq lists it as uncharacterized. The transcript has 3 exons. The record is from RefSeq and is a predicted model, not a curated record. NCBI's taxonomy places the organism in Eukaryota, Viridiplantae, Streptophyta, Lycopodiopsida, Selaginellales, Selaginellaceae.
GCCGAAGAUUGCGAAAGAUUUGGGUGUGGACUACGCCGGGAUGUAGUGCGUUUGCGAUGUCCGGAUCAUCGUGUCCAGGAGCAGCUUUGUCAGCAGGAAAUGGCCUGGGUGAAUGCGUGCUAGUUAGUUUUUUUGAUACGUUUGUAUUCUAUCUGACCGAGAUGGUUUAUUGCGAACUGUAACUCCAUCUUUUCUUCAGAUAGCUGCAGGCCUCGGCAGAUUACCCCGGCAUUAUUUCUUCACAGUGCAAGCAUGUCACAACAAGAAGAGAAGGCGUACGAUGAAAGCUUACAUGAGAAUAUUUAGUGGAGCGUUCAGAGAUUUGAACUCGUCGACAAAGCCUUCAAAGUUCUCGCCGGAAUAACGACGUGAGCUCCUCGCAUCGCCAGCACUCUCGCCGUUUCCAAGCCAAUUCCAGAUGUAGCACCUCAAGGGAAG